GGAUUGUAAAGAAAAGGAUUCUUGUGUCGGCCCAACACGACAAUCGAAUCGAUCAACAUGAAACCCUCAAGAAACUCCCUACCCUAAAAAUUAUUGUGGCCAAAGAAAACCCCUUAAUAUCUCUUAUAUGAUCAUUAUUAAAAACAAAUAUCAGUUAUUUGAUUUUCUGGCCACAUAAUGGGAAAUUGUGUGUUCAAAGGGUUUGGAGAGUCGGAUAUUGAUGCGGUCAAAGUCAAAGUUGUGACGUCAAGCGGUGGUAUAAUGGAGCUGUAUGCUCCCAUAGCGGUUAGCUCCAUUACCGACGAGUUCCCUGGCCACGCCAUAUUCCGGAGCCGGGACCUCUUCUCUGAUCCUCUCCUCCACAGUGAGGAGCUCAACCCUGGUGAGCUCUACUAUCUCUUGCCUCUCAACCCUUAUAAUAACUACAAAACCACAACAAGAGCGGCGGCGACGCCCGGGGAGAGCGACGGCGGUAAUAGUAGUGUUGUUGCGACGCCGUAUCGGAUGUCUUCGUGCGCUGAGGGACAAGGGAAUCUGAUGAUGACCAUGAUGAUGAAGAAGGGGAGGGCUGCGCCGGAUCCUGAGGUGGUGCCGAGGUACAACAGUAGCGGGGUUUGGAAGGUGAAGCUCGUCAUAAGCCCUGAGCAGCUUUCUGAGAUUCUGUCCCAAGAGACUCGGACAGAAGCUCUAAUUGAGAGUGUACGGACGGUGGCCAAGUGUGGCAACAGCGGCGGCGGCGGCGGCUCCUCUGUGGCUAGCUCCGAUCAAUGUAGUGUGUCUAGUAGUUGGAAGGAAUAACCGUGAUCGUUCGUUGAUACUUGAUGGUCACAUUAAUCAAAGUCGAUGGAUGCUAGAUUUCAUUCUAGUUAUUCAUUUCUAGUGAUUUUCUCCAAUGCCCUCUUGGGGGUAUUCACGCGUUGUUAUCGCUGCAAUUGUCUCUACCUUUUAAGUACCUGGAUAUGAUACCACUUUGGAACGAGAUAUAUGUGUAUUGGCAAUAUCACUCCGAAAAGAAAAAAGUUAGUGUAAUAUAAUAAUGUUUUGAAAUAAAUAUAAUUAACAUUGGGAAAUUAACAGUUAUAAUUCCCAGUUAAAUUUGUAACAUAAGUUGGCAUGGGAUCAAGUGGACUUGUUGAGAAAAAAAUAAUAAUGAGAUUCAUCAUCA
Molecule: RNA transcript, 1165 nt
Organism: Humulus lupulus (European hop)
Lineage: Eukaryota; Viridiplantae; Streptophyta; Magnoliopsida; Rosales; Cannabaceae
Exons: 2
Source: RefSeq, a predicted model, not a curated record